UACGUAGGGUGCGAGCGUUGUCCGGAAUUACUGGGCGUAAAGAGCUCGUAGGUGGUUUGUCGCGUUGUUCGUGAAAACUCACAACUCAAUUGUGGGCGUGCGGGCGAUACGGGCAGACUGGAGUACUGCAGGGGAGACUGGAAUUCCUGGUGUAGCGGUGGAAUGCGCAGAUAUCAGGAGGAACACCGGUGGCGAAGGCGGGUCUCUGGGCCUUAUCUGACGCUGAGGCGCGAAAGCUAGGGGAGCAAACAGG
Molecule: ribosomal RNA, 253 nt
Filed under: uncultured bacterium
Lineage: Bacteria
Description: partial 16S ribosomal RNA
Rfam family: Bacterial small subunit ribosomal RNA
Source: RNAcentral